GACGAACGCUGGCGGCGUGCUUAACACAUGCAAGUCGAACGCUGAAGCUUGGUGCUUGCACUGGGUGGAUGAGUGGCGAACGGGUGAGUAAUACGUGAGUAACCUGCCCUUGACUCUGGGAUAAGCCUGGGAAACUGGGUCUAAUACUGGAUACGACAUGUCACCGCAUGGUGGUGUGUGGAAAGGGUUUUACUGGUUUUGGAUGGGCUCGCGGCCUAUCAGCUUGUUGGUGGGGUAAUGGCUCACCAAGGCGACGACGGGUAGCCGGCCUGAGAGGGUGACCGGCCACACUGGGACUGAGACACGGCCCAGACUCCUACGGGAGGCAGCAGUGGGGAAUAUUGCACAAUGGGCGGAAGCCUGAUGCAGCGACGCCGCGUGAGGGAUGACGGCCUUCGGGUUGUAAACCUCUUUCAGCACGGAAGAAGCGAAAGUGACGGUACGUGCAGAAGAAGCGCCGGCUAACUACGUG
RNAcentral lists this ribosomal RNA (472 nucleotides) under uncultured bacterium. RNAcentral's name for it is "partial 16S ribosomal RNA". It matches the Rfam family "Bacterial small subunit ribosomal RNA", at positions 28 to 507 of the family's 1533-position model. The record is from RNAcentral.